GUGGGGAAUAUUGGACAAUGGGCGCAAGCCUGAUCCAGCCAUGCCGCGUGAGUGAUGAAGGCCUUAGGGUUGUAAAGCUCUUUCAGUGGGGACGAUAAUGACGAUACCCACAGAAGAAGCCCCGGCUAACUUCGUGCCAGCAGCCGCGGUAAUACGAAGGGGGCUAGCGUUGUUCGGAUUUACUGGGCGUAAAGCGCACGUAGGCGGAUCGUUAAGUCGGGGGUGAAAUCCUGGAGCUCAACUCCAGAACUGCCUUCGAUACUGGCGAUCUUGAGGCCGGAAGAAGUGAGUGGAACUCCUAGUGUAGAGGUGGAAUUCGGAGAUAUUAGGAAGAACACCAGUGGCGAAGGCGGCUCACUGGUCCGGUACUGACGCUGAGGUGCGAAAGCGUGGGGAGCAAACAGGAUUAGAAACCCUAGUAGUCC
Molecule: ribosomal RNA, 425 nt
Filed under: uncultured bacterium
Lineage: Bacteria
Description: bacterial SSU rRNA
Rfam family: Bacterial small subunit ribosomal RNA
Source: RNAcentral